GCCAGCAGCCGCGGUAAUACGUAGGGUGCGAGCGUUAAUCGGAAUUACUGGGCGUAAAGCGUGCGCAGGCGGUUUUUUAAGAUAGGCGUGAAAUCCCCGGGCUCAACCUGGGAACUGCGCUUAUGACUGGAAGACUAGAGUAUGGCAGAGGGGGGUGGAAUUCCACGUGUAGCAGUGAAAUGCGUAGAGAUGUGGAGGAACACCGAUGGCGAAGGCAGCCCCCUGGGCCAAUACUGACGCUCAUGCACGAAAGCGUGGGGAGCAAACAGGAUUAGAUACCCUGGUAGUCCACGCCCUAAACGAUGUCAACUAGGUGUUGGGUGGGUAAAGCCAUUUAGUACCGUAGCCAACGCGUGAAGUUGACCGCCUGGGGAGUACGGCCGCAAGGUUAAAACUCAAAGGAAUUGACGGGGACCCGCACAAGCGGUGGAUGAUGUGGAUUAAUUC
RNAcentral lists this ribosomal RNA (447 nucleotides) under uncultured beta proteobacterium. RNAcentral's name for it is "bacterial SSU rRNA". It matches the Rfam family "Bacterial small subunit ribosomal RNA", at positions 507 to 952 of the family's 1533-position model. The record is from RNAcentral. Lineage: Bacteria; Pseudomonadati; Pseudomonadota; Betaproteobacteria.